Molecule: long non-coding RNA, 310 nt
Organism: Homo sapiens (human)
Lineage: Eukaryota; Metazoa; Chordata; Mammalia; Primates; Hominidae
Exons: 2
Source: RefSeq, a predicted model, not a curated record
CCUGGUGGCUAUAAUUAGUUUAGACAUCGGAACACAAACCAGUUUUGGACGAUGAAAUGUAAAGGGAAAGUCUCGUUCCCUCCUAGGAAAACAGAAACAGUCAACAUGCCCGAGUGCUGUGAACGUUAUGAGAGGGCCUUGUUGGGAACACGUGCUCCUGGGAAUCAGCCCUUCCCUCUGUCCUGUUCCCACUCCUCCCCGACGAUGCUCCUGCUCAGAACCCACUCCUCACCUCAGUGAAGCAACGCAGCGGGCACCCUGUGGACAAAGCUGGAUAUUGGCUCUGAAUAAAAGCGAAUCAUGGGGAAAA